UACGUAGGGAGCAAGCGUUGACCGGAAUCAUUGGGCGUAAAGCGCGCGUAGGUGGCCUCAUAAGUCCGCUGUGAAAGUCAAAGGCUCAACCUUUGAAAGCCGGUGGAUACUGUGGGGCUAGAGUACGGAAGAGGCGAGUGGAAUUCCUGGUGUAGCGGUGGAAUGCGCAGAUAUCAGGAGGAACACCAAUAGCGAAGGCAGCUCGCUGGGACGUUACUGACACUGAGGCGCGAAAGCGUGGGGAGCGAACAGG
This 253-nucleotide ribosomal RNA is filed under the name uncultured bacterium. RNAcentral describes it as "partial 16S ribosomal RNA". It matches the Rfam family "Bacterial small subunit ribosomal RNA", at positions 524 to 776 of the family's 1533-position model. The record is from RNAcentral.